This 126-nucleotide non-coding RNA is filed under the name uncultured Lachnoclostridium sp. Its description in RNAcentral is "FMN riboswitch (RFN element)". It matches the Rfam family "FMN riboswitch aptamer (RFN element)". From Rfam's summary of the family: The RFN element is a highly conserved domain that is found frequently in the 5'-untranslated regions of prokaryotic mRNAs that encode for flavin mononucleotide (FMN) biosynthesis and transport proteins. This element is a metabolite-dependent riboswitch that directly binds FMN in the absence of proteins. Lineage: Bacteria; Bacillati; Bacillota; Clostridia; Lachnospirales; Lachnospiraceae. The record is from RNAcentral.
AUCUUCGGGGUCGGGUGAAAGUCCCAACCGGCGGUUACAGUCCGCGACCCGGAAUCUGCCAGGAGCAGAGGAAGGCUGAUUUGGUGAAAUUCCAAAACCGACAGUAAAGUCUGGAUGAGAGAAGAA